RNAcentral lists this ribosomal RNA (467 nucleotides) under uncultured bacterium. RNAcentral describes it as "partial 16S ribosomal RNA". It matches the Rfam family "Bacterial small subunit ribosomal RNA", at positions 28 to 507 of the family's 1533-position model. The record is from RNAcentral.
GAUGAACGCUGACGGAAUGCUUAACACAUGCAAGUCAACUUGAAUUUGGGUUUUUAACUUCGGUUUGGGUGGCGGACGGGUGAGUAACGCGUAAAGAACUUGCCUCACAGCUAGGGACAACAUUUGGAAACGAAUGCUAAUACCUAAUAUUAUGAUAAUAGGGCAUCCUAUAAUUAUGAAAGCUAUAAGCGCUGUGAGAGAGCUUUGCGUCCCAUUAGCUAGUUGGAGAGGUAACGGCUCACCAAGGCGAUGAUGGGUAGCCGGCCUGAGAGGGUGAUCGGCCACAAGGGGACUGAGACACGGCCCUUACUCCUACGGGAGGCAGCAGUGGGGAAUAUUGGACAAUGGACCGAGAGUCUGAUCCAGCAAUUCUGUGUGCACGAUGAAGUUUUUCGGAAUGUAAAGUGCUUUCAGUUGGGAAGAAACAAAUGACGGUACCAACAGAAGAAGUGACGGCUAAAUACGUG